CCACCCGUUCCCAUCCCGAACACGGAAGUUAAGCCCUCCAGCGCCGAUGGUACUUGGGGUGAAGACCCCUGGGAGAGUAGGUCGUUGCCAGGC
Molecule: ribosomal RNA, 93 nt
Filed under: Thermoflavimicrobium dichotomicum
Lineage: Bacteria; Bacillati; Bacillota; Bacilli; Caryophanales; Thermoactinomycetaceae
Source: RNAcentral